CUACGUGCCAGCAGCCGCGGUAAUACGUAGGGCGCGAGCGUUGUCCGGAAUUAUUGGGCGUAAAGAGCUUGUAGGCGGUUUGUCGCGUCUGCUGUGAAAGGCCGGGGCUUAACCCCGUGUAUUGCAGUGGGUACGGGCAGACUAGAGUGCAGUAGGGGAGACUGGAAUUCCUGGUGUAGCGGUGGAAUGCGCAGAUAUCAGGAGGAACACCGAUGGCGAAGGCAGGUCUCUGGGCUGUAACUGACGCUGAGAAGCGAAAGCAUGGGGAGCGAACAGGAUUAGAUACCCUGGUAGUCCACGCUGUAAACGAUGUCGACUUGGAGGUUGUUCCCUUGAGGAGUGGCUUCCGGAGCUAACGCGUUAAGUCGACCGCCUGGGGAGUACGGCCGCAAGGUUAAAACUCAAAUGAAUUGACGGGGGCCCGCACAAGCGGUGGAGCAUGUGGUUUAAUUCGAAGCAACGCGAAGAACCUUACCAAGUCUUGACAUCCUUUGACCACUCUAGAGAUAGAGCAUUCC
Molecule: ribosomal RNA, 518 nt
Filed under: uncultured bacterium
Lineage: Bacteria
Description: bacterial SSU rRNA
Rfam family: Bacterial small subunit ribosomal RNA
Source: RNAcentral